Molecule: ribosomal RNA, 301 nt
Filed under: uncultured bacterium
Lineage: Bacteria
Description: partial 16S ribosomal RNA
Rfam family: Bacterial small subunit ribosomal RNA
Source: RNAcentral
CAGCCGCCGCGGUAAUACGUAGGGUGCGAGCGUUAAUCGGAAUUACUGGGCGUAAAGCGUGCGCAGGCGGUUUGUUAAGACAGAUGUGAAAUCCCCGGGCUCAACCUGGGAACUGCAUUUGUGACUGGCAAGCUAGAGUCUGGCAGAGGGGGGUGGAAUUCCGCGUGUAGCAGUGAAAUGCGUAGAUAUGCGGAGGAACACCGAUGGCGAAGGCAGCCCCCUGGGCCAACACUGACGCUCAUGCACGAAAGCGUGGGGAGCAAACAGGAUUAGAUACCCCGGUAGUCCCUGUCUCUUAUAC